Molecule: transfer RNA, 83 nt
Filed under: Oesophagostomum dentatum (nodular worm)
Lineage: Eukaryota; Metazoa; Nematoda; Chromadorea; Rhabditida; Strongylidae
Rfam family: tRNA
About the family: Transfer RNA (tRNA) molecules are approximately 80 nucleotides in length. Their secondary structure includes four short double-helical elements and three loops (D, anti-codon, and T loops). Further hydrogen bonds mediate the characteristic L-shaped molecular structure. tRNAs have two regions of fundamental functional importance: the anti-codon, which is responsible for specific mRNA codon recognition, and the 3' end, to which the tRNAs corresponding amino acid is attached (by aminoacyl-tRNA synthetases). tRNAs cope with the degeneracy of the genetic code in two manners: having more than one tRNA (with a specific anti-codon) for a particular amino acid; and 'wobble' base-pairing, i.e. permitting non-standard base-pairing at the 3rd anti-codon position.
Source: Rfam by way of RNAcentral
ACGUCGAUAGCUCAGUUAGUAGAGCGGACGACUGCAGAAUAGCAGCUAUCCUUAUGUCGCUGAUUCGAAUCCGGCUCGACGGA